GGCCAACGGGCCCAAUUCGGUAAAAACACUCGGUAAGUGUUUCUGUUAAUACGUUAAUGGCUUUAAUAUGCAUGAAAACCCUAUAAUAGUAAAUUUACUAAACUACCCUCAAGUAUGAAAUUACCAUUAUACCCCUAAGUGUAAAAUGAUUGUUAUACCCCUAGGGUUAAUUUUGACUGAAAUGCAUGAUAUUUUGAUUCUGUUUGUGGUAUGCCCUGACAUGUAAA
RNAcentral lists this long non-coding RNA (227 nucleotides) under Gossypium barbadense (sea-island cotton). RNAcentral's name for it is "long non-coding RNA (GBAR_LNC010331)". Lineage: Eukaryota; Viridiplantae; Streptophyta; Magnoliopsida; Malvales; Malvaceae. The record is from RNAcentral.